This 426-nucleotide ribosomal RNA is filed under the name Triticum aestivum (bread wheat). RNAcentral describes it as "partial small subunit ribosomal RNA". Lineage: Eukaryota; Viridiplantae; Streptophyta; Magnoliopsida; Poales; Poaceae. The record is from RNAcentral.
AUGGGAUCUGGGAGCCUCCCGGCCGCCAAACGGGGGCGACUCGGGAGGAGGCAGGAGCGUAUUUGUGAGUUGUCUUCAAGCCAUAGAAGCACCGUCGAGCCCUGGAGCUGUGGCGACAGCGCCGUCCCAGCCAACGGCGUCCUCUUCCAUGCCCUGGCCAUCCAGGAGGAGUGCCACGGCUAUCACAAUUCUCCCCAUGGCAUCCUUCGGGAUGUUGAUCGUGUCCUUGUACCGGCGGCAGUCGGAGCCUGGUACGUCCAGAGAGGCAUGGCCUUGGAUUGGAGCAUUGCAGGCAUCGAUCCACUUCGUGGUAGCCAUGGGGUAGGGUGGUGUAGAGCUCAGUCCCGUGAGCUGCAGUUCACCCAUUCAUUCCUCACCUAUAAGCCUAGCAAGAAGGAAAACAGUUUGUGCUAUAUAUACGACUGA